UACGAAGGGGGCUAGCGUUGUUCGGAAUUACUGGGCGUAAAGCGCGCGUAGGCGGACGCUUAAGUCAGGGGUGAAAUCCCGGGGCUCAACCCCGGAACCGCCUUUGAUACUGGGCGUCUGGAGUCCGGAAGAGGUUGGUGGAAUUCCGAGUGUAGAGGUGAAAUUCGUAGAUAUUCGGAGGAACACCAGAGGCGAAGGCGGCCAACUGGUCCGGUACUGACGCUGAGGCGCGAAAGCGUGGGGAGCAAAC
Molecule: ribosomal RNA, 250 nt
Filed under: uncultured Alphaproteobacteria bacterium
Lineage: Bacteria; Pseudomonadati; Pseudomonadota; Alphaproteobacteria
Description: partial 16S ribosomal RNA
Rfam family: Bacterial small subunit ribosomal RNA
Source: RNAcentral